GACGAACGCUGGCGGCGUGCUUAACACAUGCAAGUCGAGCGAUGAAGCUUCUUCGGGAGUGGAUUAGCGGCGGACGGGCGAGUAACACGUGGGUAACCUGCCUCAUAAAGGGGAAUAGCCUUUCGAAAGGAAGAUUAAUACCGCAUAAGAUUGUAGUACCGCAUGGUACAGCAAUUAAAGGAGCAAUCCGUUAUGAGAUGGACCCGCGUCGCAUUAGCUAGUUGGUGAGGUAACGGCUCACCAAGGCGACGAUGCGUAGCCGACCUGAGAGGGUGAUCGGCCACAUUGGGACUGAGACACGGCCCAGACUCCUACGGGAGGCAGCAGUGGGGAAUAUUGCACAAUGGGGGAAACCCUGAUGCAGCAACGCCGCGUGAGUGAUGACGGUCUUCGGAUUGUAAAACUCUGUCUUCAGGGACGAUAAUGACGGUACCUGAGGAGGAAGCCACGGCUAACUACGUGCCAGCAGCCGCGGUAA
RNAcentral lists this ribosomal RNA (478 nucleotides) under uncultured bacterium. RNAcentral's name for it is "partial 16S ribosomal RNA". It matches the Rfam family "Bacterial small subunit ribosomal RNA", at positions 28 to 523 of the family's 1533-position model. The record is from RNAcentral.